AUUGAACGCUGGCGGCAGGCCUAACACAUGCAAGUCGAACGGUAGCAGGAAGAAGCUUGCUUCUUCGCUGACGAGUGGCGGACGGGUGAGUAAUGUCUGGGAAACUGCCUGAUGGAGGGGGAUAACUACUGGAAACGGUAGCUAAUACCGCAUAACGUCGCAAGACCAAAGAGGGGGACCUUCGGGCCUCUUGCCAUCGGAUGUGCCCAGAUGGGAUUAGCUUGUUGGUGGGGUAACGGCUCACCAAGGCGACGAUCCCUAGCUGGUCUGAGAGGAUGACCAGCCACACUGGAACUGAGACACGGUCCAGACUCCUACGGGGGGCAGCAGUGGGGAAUAUUGCACAAUGGGCGCAAGCCUGAUGCAGCCAUGCCGCGUGGAUGAAGAAGGCCUUCGGGUUGUAAAGUACUUUCAGCGGGGAGGAAGGGAGUAAAGUUAAUACCUUUGCUCAUUGACGUACCCGCAGAAGAAGCACCGGCUGACUCCGUG
Molecule: ribosomal RNA, 489 nt
Filed under: uncultured bacterium
Lineage: Bacteria
Description: partial 16S ribosomal RNA
Rfam family: Bacterial small subunit ribosomal RNA
Source: RNAcentral